GCUGGGCAUGGUGGCGGGUGCCUGUAGUCCAAGCUACUCGGGAGGCUGAGGUGGGAGAAUCGCUUGAACCCGGGAGGCAGAGGUUGCAGUGAGCCGACAUUGCGCCACUGCACUCCAGCCUGGGUGACAGAACGAGACUCCGCCUCAA
RNAcentral lists this small RNA (148 nucleotides) under Pongo abelii (Sumatran orangutan). RNAcentral's name for it is "Metazoan signal recognition particle RNA (ENSPPYG00000032886.1)". Lineage: Eukaryota; Metazoa; Chordata; Mammalia; Primates; Hominidae. The record is from Rfam by way of RNAcentral.